RNAcentral lists this ribosomal RNA (468 nucleotides) under uncultured bacterium. RNAcentral's name for it is "partial 16S ribosomal RNA". It matches the Rfam family "Bacterial small subunit ribosomal RNA", at positions 28 to 507 of the family's 1533-position model. The record is from RNAcentral.
GACGAACGCUGGCGGCGUGCUUAACACAUGCAAGUCGAACGGAAAGGCCCUGCGUUUGUGGGGUGCUCGAGUGGCGAACGGGUGAGUAACACGUGAGUAACCUGCCCUUGACUUUGGGAUAACUUCAGGAAACUGGGGCUCAUACAGGAUAGGAGCUCCUGCUGCAUGGUGGGGGUUGGAAAGUUUCGGCGGUUGGGGAUGGACUCGCGGCUUAUCAGCGUGUUGGUGGGGUAGUGGCUUGCAAAGGCUUUGACGGGUAGCCGGCCUGAGAGGGUGACCGGCCACAUUGGGACUGAGAUACGGCGCAGACUCCUACGUGAGGCAGCAGUGGGGAGUCUUGCACAAUGGGCGGAAGCCUGUUGCGGCAACGCCGCGUGCGGGAUGACGGCCUUCGGGUUGUAAACCGCUUUCGCCUGUGACGAAGCGUGAGUGACGGUAAUGGGUAAAGAAGCACCGGCUAACUACGUG